Molecule: long non-coding RNA, 342 nt
Organism: Apis dorsata (giant honeybee)
Lineage: Eukaryota; Metazoa; Arthropoda; Insecta; Hymenoptera; Apidae
Exons: 3
Source: RefSeq, a predicted model, not a curated record
UGGAAAAGAGAAGAAGAAGGAAAAAAAAAAAAAAAUAUAGUUCGUUCUCGAUCCGAUCUGAUUUAUUCGAUAGAAAAACGAGAAAGGGAAAGAAAAUUAUUGAAAUGGCGACCAAUAAAUAAACGAAUAAAUCUCAAUACUGAUAUUAUUACACGGUUGGACGAGUCACCGGUGUUCUCUUACGCAGAAUGUAUCCUUGCCAAGAGCAGCGUUUUUUUUCUCGCCGCGGAGAGGACGUAAAAAUAUACGUGGCUCGUUCUAAGGACGCGAGACAUUUGGUCCUUGAUUCUUCCUCGUAUUAAUAAAGAUAUAAGGCACGAGCGGAUCUCUAAAGGCACCGGG